UGGCAGACCCUUUAGACUCUCC
Molecule: non-coding RNA, 22 nt
Filed under: Mus musculus (house mouse)
Lineage: Eukaryota; Metazoa; Chordata; Mammalia; Rodentia; Muridae
Source: RNAcentral